CUGUUUAUCAAAAACAUGGCUUUCUGUAUAUUGAAGAUAGAGAGUCGGACCUGCCCGGUGAAUUUUUUAACGGCCGCGGUACUCUGACCGUGCAAAGGUAGCAUAAUCAUUUGCCUUAUAAUUGAAGGCUAGAAUGAAUGGUUUGACAAGAAUACAACUGUCUCUUUACAAUUACAUAAAAUUUUAUCUGCAGUUGAAGAAGCCUGCAUUUGAAUAAAAGACAAGAAGACCCUAUCGAGCUUAAAAAAAACUGGUGGAAUAACAAACUUUAAUCCUAACUUAUAAAUAAAUAAAUAGUCAACUACUGGAAAUUUUGGUUGGGGCGACCGGGGAACAAAAAAAACUUCCUUUAUAAAAAUUUAGAUGCCCAAAUAUUGAUCCAGCAUUAUAUGAUUAAAGAAAUUAGUUACCGUAGGGAUAACAGCAUUAUCUUUUUUAAGAGUUCUUAUCGAAAAAAAGGUUUGUGACCUCGAUGUUGGACCAGAAUAUCCUAAAGAUGCAGCC
RNAcentral lists this ribosomal RNA (504 nucleotides) under Turbinella pyrum. RNAcentral describes it as "partial 16S ribosomal RNA". It matches the Rfam family "Bacterial large subunit ribosomal RNA", at positions 1800 to 2560 of the family's 2925-position model. Lineage: Eukaryota; Metazoa; Mollusca; Gastropoda; Neogastropoda; Turbinellidae. The record is from RNAcentral.